UGGCGGACGGGGGAGUAAUGUCUGGGAAACUGCCCGAUGGAGGGGGAUAACUACUGGAAACGGUAGCUAAUACCGCAUAACGUCGCAAGACCAAAGAGGGGGACCUUAGGGCCUCUUGCCAUCGGAUGUGCCCAGAUGGGAUUAGCUAGUAGGUGGGGUAACGGCUCACCUAGGCGACGAUCCCUAGCUGGUCUGAGAGGAUGACCAGCCACACUGGAACUGAGACACGGUCCAG
This 235-nucleotide ribosomal RNA is filed under the name uncultured bacterium. RNAcentral describes it as "partial 16S ribosomal RNA". It matches the Rfam family "Bacterial small subunit ribosomal RNA", at positions 96 to 334 of the family's 1533-position model. The record is from RNAcentral.